UGGGCAACGCGACGCCGUACAACGUGACGAAAGCAGCCCUGGAUCACCUGACACGAUGCGCCGCAUUAGAGAACGCUCCAUUUGGUGUACGGGUGAACGCGGUCAACCCCGGAGUCAUCAAUACAGACUUUUGGACACAACCUGGAGGCAAAGUGGAGGAACGAAGAG
Non-coding RNA from Dermacentor andersoni, 168 nucleotides. NCBI's taxonomy places the organism in Eukaryota, Metazoa, Arthropoda, Arachnida, Ixodida, Ixodidae. The record is from RefSeq and is a predicted model, not a curated record.